Molecule: transfer RNA, 64 nt
Filed under: Doederleinia berycoides (blackthroat seaperch)
Lineage: Eukaryota; Metazoa; Chordata; Actinopteri; Acropomatiformes; Acropomatidae
Description: tRNA-Cys
Source: RNAcentral
AGCCCUGGGGUGUGACACACCAGAUUGCAAAUCUGGAGAAGCAGGCUAACCCCUGCCGGGGCUU